AUAUAGAAUAGAAUAAAUCUAAAAGCAAAGAAAAUGGCUAUUUAGGAGUCUGAGUUGGCCACCACGCUCAUCACCUCUCUCACAGUUUUAGCCUCUCAUAUGCAUCCGUGGCCGUGAAGAUGGAGAAACAUGCCUUCAUCACCACAUUGGAUAUUCCUUUCUGCUUUUUCAUCCUACAUGUUUAGGAUUGUCCCUCCUAAUAAUGUUAUUUACAUUUACGAUAUGCGAAUGAAAGUAUUUAUGUAAUAAAUUUAUAAAAGAGUAAAAUUGAAAUAACUAAUAUUUUGAUAUCUUAAGUUUAAAUCUCAUUAUUCAUCCGUUAAUAUGCAUAUAUAUAUUUCUAAAUUUUAUAAAAUAAAAUGAUAUUUGAUAAUUUUCUAAUUGAAUUGAGCUCAAGUUGAUGGCUGACAUCAACUCAAUCAACCCCUUAAUUUAUAGUAUAGAUUUCACAUAUUUAAUUUUUUACUUUUAUAAUACUAUUAAUACAUUCAAAUUGACAACAUCGAUAAAGUGAUUGACGUAAAUAUAUUUGGCUAAUAUAUAAAUUUUAAUAUUAAUUUAACAUGAUUAUUAUUUGGCUAAUAUAUAAAUUUUAAUAUUAAUUUAGCAUGAUUAUUGAACUUUCUUGUGAUCCUGAUUAAGUAACCAAAUAAGAAUAGAAAAUUCAUUACUCUAUCUACAAAUAAUAUUAUAAAAAUAAAGAGAUCAAAUUAAAAUGAUUAAAUCUAAAAUUUCCAAAACCAUAAUUAGACCUGGUUUUUCUAUUGACUCAAAUUUUGCCGCCUUUUAAUUUAUAGGAUUGUUGAUUCUGGAAGGAAGCCCCUUGAUUUCAACAGAUAAUUGCUUCAAGAGUUGUGUUACAUGUUGUAGUUGAUCAGGCUUUUGUUAUUUUCGUUGCACAAUUAAUGUAAGUAAAAGUGGUCCGUCCUUCAAACAUGAAAGGUCAAACCUUUUAUUCCAUUUUAAACAUCAAAUGGUGGAGAUAGCUAUAGAUUAGCUAGGCCCGGCCUCGCCCCAGAAGUCAAGGAAACCCCUCAAGUAUACCCUGAGCUGUCUCAACUACAAUAUUUUAUUAGUGUUCAAACAAUCUGUUCAAUUGGGGGGGGGGGGAUCCAUAAUCUUUAUCAUAGUUGAAUGAUUCAAGGUGUCUUAGGUAAUCAACUAGACAUUUUACCUACCUAUUCCUCUACUUGCUGCUUCUAGACAACAGAACUAGUUGAUAUUAUUUAUAAAUGCAACAUCUUCAAAUGCUCAAUGCUUCAAUGAAAUUGAGGUUCUCAAUUAUUAAUAACUGACUUAACCAAAACCGUCCAAAUGUUUAAAUGACUUUUUCUCGCCCCCUAUAAAUAAAAUGGCAACUUCUGUAUCUCACAUUCAUGGAAGCAAAAGAAGAAAAUCUAAUUUAAAACAAUCCUGUACUAAAGCACAAGUGGGUAGCAUUUACCUUGAAGGCUUUGAUAUGCUGAGGUAGUGGAAGGAUGAUUCUCUAAAGGGAAGUAAAAAAGAGGAUUGCUCUCAUCAUCUUCUCAAUUACAAUCUCUGUUAGCAAUACAAAAUCUAACAUCUGCUGUUUUCUAGUAACAUGUCUAGAAUAUUUGACAAGUCUUGUUUGCUCUAUACAUACCACAUUUGUAUCAUGUCCAACAGGCAAUGGCAAAUUAUCCCACUUGUUCUCAGAUGUUUCAACCUUACCAAAACUACAGUGUAUGGUCACUAGUAGCACUUGUGAACCAAAAGCUAACCAAAGAAAGACGGAAAGACACCGAAAAUAUUCUUUUCCAUAUCUAGCAUGUGCUUAUGUAGUCUAAUAUAUCUACCAGAAGCCAUAAUCAAAUGUAUAUAACACCUAUGAAACUUUUGAAUUUCGACCUACAACAGUAGCAGUCUAGGCAACUCUCAAACAUUGCAGAGCAUGUUUUAUCAAGGAUCAGUUCACACUUGCAGAAAUAAUCAAAUCACUGUAUCAUUCAAAGAAAGAAAUAAAGAGUGAUGCAAACAAGCAAUAAGCAAGAACCAACAAACCAAAUGAGCAAUAUAUAUCAGGCUAGACUUAAAAAACAUUCAGGAAUGUAAAAUUUUGGCCAGCCACUCAAAUCCAUCAACCAUCAACUAUCUAAAAUAUGCAAUCAAACUAAAACUCUAACCAUUUCUUGUAAUAUUCACAGGUGAUGGGAGAGAUCAUUCCAUCAGGGGUGCAACGACUUAUCUGUGGACAAACUCCACAAGGAAUGGAAGCCAAGGCACCAAGCUUGGGUUCUCCUCCAUAACCUCUCUUACCAGCACAU
This 2285-nucleotide long non-coding RNA is filed under the name Gossypium barbadense (sea-island cotton). Its description in RNAcentral is "long non-coding RNA (GBAR_LNC001186)". The record is from RNAcentral. Lineage: Eukaryota; Viridiplantae; Streptophyta; Magnoliopsida; Malvales; Malvaceae.